Molecule: ribosomal RNA, 554 nt
Filed under: uncultured fungus
Lineage: Eukaryota; Fungi
Description: eukaryotic LSU rRNA
Rfam family: 5.8S ribosomal RNA (bases 180-333)
Source: RNAcentral
UCCGUAGGUGAACCUGCGGAGGGAAAAUUACCGAGUUUACAACUCCCAAACCCCUGUGAACCUACCUUACUGUUGCCUCGGCGGAUCAGCCCGCUCCCGGUAAAACGGGACGGCCCGCCAGAGGACCCCUAAACUCUGUUUCUAUAUGUAACUUCUGAGUAAAACCAUAAAUAAAUCAAAACUUUCAACAACGGAUCUCUUGGUUCUGGCAUCGAUGAAGAACGCAGCAAAAUGCGAAAAGUAGUGUGAAUUGCAGAAUUCAGUGAAUCAUCGAAUCUUUGAACGCACAUUGCGCCCCCUGGUAUUCCGGGGGGCAUGCCUGUCCGAGCGUCAUUGCUGCCCUCAAGCACGGCUUGUGUGUUGGGCCCCGUCCUCCGAUCCCGGGGGACGGGCCCGAAAGGCAGCGGCGGCACCGCGUCCGGUCCUCGAGCGGCUUUGUCACCCGCUCUGUAGGCCCGGCCGGCGCUUGCCGAUCAACCCAAAUUUUUAUCCAGGUUGACCUCGGAUCAGGUAGGGAUACCCGCUGAACUUAAGCAUAUCAAUAAGCGGAGGAA